GGGCGUAAGGGCUCGCAGGCGGUUUCUUAAGUCUGAUGUGAAAGCCCCCGGCUCAACCGGGGAGGGUCAUUGGAAACUGGGGAACUUGAGUGCAGAAGAGGAGAGUGGAAUUCCACGUGUAGCGGUGAAAUGCGUAGAGAUGUGGAGGAACACCAGUGGCGAAGGCGACUCUCUGGUCUGUAACUGACGCUGAGGAGCGAAAGCGUGGGGAGCGAACAGGAUUAGAUACCCUGGUAGUCCACGCCGUAAACGAUGAGUGCUAAGUGUUAGGGGGUUUCCGCCCCUUAGUGCUGCAGCUAACGCAUUAAGCACUCCGCCUGGGGAGUACGGUCGCAAGACUGAAACUCAAAGGAAUUGACGGGGGCCCGCACAAGCGGUGGAGCAUGUGGUUUAAUUCGAAGCAACGCGAAGAACCUUACCAGGUCUUGACAUCCUCUGACAAUCCUAGAGAUAGGACGUCCCCUUCGGGGGCAGAGUGACAGGUGGUGCAUGGUUGUCGUCAGCUCGUGUCGUGAGAUGUUGGGUUAAGUCCCGCAACGAGCGCAACCCUUGAUCUUAGUUGCCAGCAUUCAGUUGGGCACUCUAAGGUGACUGCCGGUGACAAACCGGAGGAAGGUGGGGAUGACGUCAAAUCAUCAUGCCCCUUAUGACCUGGGCUACACACGUGCUACAAUGGACAGAACAAAGGGCAGCGAAACCGCGAGGUUAAGCCAAUCCCACAAAUCUGUUCUCAGUUCGGAUCGCAGUCUGCAACUCGACUGCGUGAAGCUGGAAUCGCUAGUAAUCGCGG
Molecule: ribosomal RNA, 790 nt
Filed under: Bacillus subtilis
Lineage: Bacteria; Bacillati; Bacillota; Bacilli; Caryophanales; Bacillaceae
Description: bacterial SSU rRNA
Rfam family: Bacterial small subunit ribosomal RNA
Source: RNAcentral